AAUUUCUUGACGGUGAUUCUAGAUAGAGGGCUAAAUUAUUUCCUUUUUUGUGCUGCAUUCUUAUAGCUUUCUUGAAACAAGCUUCAAAAAAGAUUGGAGGGGAUGAGAAGCAGCCAAAGCUUCAUUUGUGGGGGUUUUCCAAAUGCAAAGAAUAAUGGAAUGACCGAUACAUGUUGUGAAAGCAAGCGCGAAAUGAAAGUUCCAAGUUUGGUUGCUAGUCUCAUGGGUUUAGAAUCGAUGCCAGCAGGAUCAUGCAGUAAGCCCCCGAAGGCUUCAGCAUCUGAAACUUUGAGCAAUGUGGCAGACAAACUUGGUGCUUGACCUGGCGGAUCUGAUAAAGAAGAUAUGGAUUUUUAGAUGGCCGAAAUAAAGAGUUCAGAACCAGGUUUGCAAAGGUUUAGAGCUAAAUGUGCUCUCACUUAUCCUACUAGAUAUUUUUCUCCUCUGGAAGAUGAAGCAGAUUUAGUUGGGAAUUAACUUGAUCACCAUUCAACUGACUGCUACCUCUCCAGCAGUCCCAAUAGUAGUUCAAAGGACAAAGUGCUUGCGGAAUCACUGGACUCUAUUGAUGAUGAACCACUCUUUCCAGAACCUGAUAGAGAUCUUUCGGAUAGUGAGACCUCAUUAUCCACCAGGAGGAGUUGCAGAGAACUGAUUCAUAACGUUUCUGGUGUGCUCAGCAAGAUUGAUCAGUUAAAAGGAAGCAAACUCAGCUACGCAAAAUAGGUCAUUUUGAAUGCUAAGCUAAUAUUUGGAACUACACCUCAACAGCAGGCUCUACCUGUAGAGGAUGGGUUCUCUGUGAGCCAUUUUCUCCUCAAUGAACAUGAAAUGUUUUCGAGUUUUUUGUGGAUAGUUUUCGGUGAGUUGCUUGGCUGUAAUGACCCAAAACAGAUGAAUCAGCUUAAAGGAUUCGCCUUUGAUUGUUUAUUAGAGUACCUAGACUCAAAAUUUUCUCCAAUCUCUGAUUCUGGUUUCAGAACCUGUACCAAAAUACCAUCAAGUAUGACCAAAGAGAUUCUUAUUGCUGAUAUUAUUGAUGAGGUCAAAGAGUGGACACAAUUUGUUGGUUUGAUCCCAGACUAGCUAAUAGAAUGGAAUAUGAGCCAUUCUUGGGGUAAAUGUACGGACUUUGAGAUUGAAGAAUAUGAAUGUGGUACUGAAGUUGCUAGGCAUAUUCUCCAAGAAUUAGUAGAUGAAAUUGUUUUAGACCUCUACAGUUCUAGCUAAAUUUGGUGGAACUGUUAGUAGCUCCUUUUGAGACAUUGUUGCAAGCCUAUCAGUGCUUUUCUCAUGUGAUAACUCUUGACUCAGUAAUGUCAAGCAAAGUAUUUUGUACAAAUCAUUGAUUAUGCA
Molecule: long non-coding RNA, 1356 nt
Organism: Capsicum annuum
Lineage: Eukaryota; Viridiplantae; Streptophyta; Magnoliopsida; Solanales; Solanaceae
Exons: 3
Source: RefSeq, a predicted model, not a curated record